Molecule: ribosomal RNA, 166 nt
Filed under: bacterium
Lineage: Bacteria
Description: partial 16S ribosomal RNA
Source: RNAcentral
CGUACGGGAGGCAGCACUGGGGAAUCUUCCGCAAAGGCCGAAAGUCCGACGGAGCAACGCCGCGAGUAUGAAAAAGCACUCGGGGGGUAAAAAACUAGGUCUUGGGAGGAAAAGAGACGGCGUAAAUAAGCCAGUGAAGUGACGUACCNACGAGAGCCCCGCGCUG